Molecule: small RNA, 45 nt
Filed under: Caenorhabditis elegans
Lineage: Eukaryota; Metazoa; Nematoda; Chromadorea; Rhabditida; Rhabditidae
Description: Unclassified non-coding RNA H38K22.8
Source: RNAcentral
AUCUCUCUCCAUCUCUCUUCUUCCAAGAAGAAGAUCACAAUGAAA